GCCGGGAGCCGUCGAGCCAGGCCUUCCCUCCCUGUCGUCUCCCAGGAGCAACCUACGUUAGAGGAGGGGGAGGCAGCGCCAGAGCCCGCAGGGCCCGGAGGUACCAGGGCAGCUCCUGGGUGGGCUGCCCCCUCUGCCGUGGGGCCCUGCUGCUGCUGACUUGCUACUUCGACUGCUCCCUCUCAAACUCGACUGGCCUGCCCCUCACUUGGGUGCUUGCCCUCCUGGGCCUCUCACAGGCACUGACCAUCAUCUUGGACUUCCAGGUAUGACACAGAGGGAGGUGGGGGGGUCUGUCCA
This 300-nucleotide long non-coding RNA is filed under the name Dasypus novemcinctus (nine-banded armadillo). RNAcentral's name for it is "lncRNA (ENSDNOG00000052072.1)". The record is from RNAcentral. Lineage: Eukaryota; Metazoa; Chordata; Mammalia; Cingulata; Dasypodidae.